Molecule: long non-coding RNA, 2278 nt
Organism: Triticum aestivum (bread wheat)
Lineage: Eukaryota; Viridiplantae; Streptophyta; Magnoliopsida; Poales; Poaceae
Exons: 5
Source: RefSeq, a predicted model, not a curated record
ACUCCUAAAAACACAUCUACUAGGCUUAUAUGCCCAAUCUGUAUAGUAGCUAGCUUCAUCUUAAUUCAGUCUCAACAUUGGUAACAAUAUUUAAAAAUAGCACAAAUAGGCCCUCCAAACACCAUGCCGGUUGGGCUCUCUUUCCUACCGAGUUAGAUGACAACCAUUACAGGGUAAAUUGGUCAUAUAAUUUCAUUCCACACAAUAUGUGAUAGGGCAUCUCCUCAGUUUAAACCGUUCUAUAUAUAAGUUCUUCUACUUGUUUUCUUGACUUACAACAUUCUUUUCAUAUAAUUUCAUUCCACAGAAUAUGUGACAGGGCACCUGCUCAGUUUAAACUGUUCUAUAUAUAAGCUCUUAUACUUGUUUUCUUGACCUGCAACAUUUUCUUCAUUCUCUUAACAUGAAACUCUCUCCGCAUAUGGUCUAUUGGACACUAUAUUUUUCAUGUGAUUCGGUAUUACCUAUCAAAGUCAUGUGAUCACUAAUCAGCGUCGUGGCGCACAUCUGCUAGCCUUUGAUUUUGGUCUGUCGCCCAUGCCAUGUAUUUUACAUGUUCAUCUAUUUGGGCAUUAGUGACACCGGUAGUUAGUAGCCGUGUUAAUCAAAAUUCUAGAAAAGUGUUACAUUAAAACUGGUACGUAAACCACCUUAUGCUAAUAUUAGUGCUACACAAACUCCAGAAUGGCUUACUGAUGGUGAAUUUCGUGGUGCAUCACGGGUCGAACCUCCAGGAUUUUGUGGCCAUAUUAUGUUGUCUGCAAUGUUGUAAUUCAGAUGCCUUGAUUAAUACACAUGUGAAUGGGGGUGCUAAACCAGUCAUUCCCCUUUGAAAACCGAUGUUGCCUUGCAUACAUAUGUAUUUUGCUGGUCUCGAAUCGGAGACCGCUGAUAGUAUGCUAUUUGGUGCUAUGUUAUUUCAAAUGUUGAUAAAAUUCUAUAUUUUGCAUGAUUAGUUCAACCUAUUGUUUCUUGCAGAUGAGAAGGAUCGGCAAAAAAGUUUGAGCCUCCUCUUAGAAGGUUCAAAACGGGACGGGGGCAAGAUAGCUCUAGGAAAGUUGGUGCGGACGGCUACGAAGUGGAGCCUAGAAGUGGCGAAUUUUCUUAAUACCGCUACAUUAAUCACCUAAAAUUGGCAAUAGUGACAACCUAGAGGAAGAUGAUACCACUGGAAGUGAUGUGCCGGUGGAUGAUAUGGACGAAUACAACUAGAAUAUUGCCAAGCCUAUUAUUGCAUCAAGGGCAAGACUUAUUACCGAUGCUCAGCGCAAAGUCGAAUAUAUGCUCAAGGAAAUAUGGGUGCCUCCUCCAACGCUACCCAUAUCCAUUUGUCAAUGAUGACUCUGCUUGAUGUCGCCGCAUACCAGCAGAAGAUAAAGCUCAACCAUAGAUUGGAAGACCGGGGCUAUAUAGAUUGAUGUCUAAAACCAAUGCAGAUCACCCUGCUGAAGAAGGAGAGGAAGUUAGAAAUCAGUUUCAGUUUUACAGGUGCAAAAUCAACUCAUUCCACUGUAAUACUGGACAUCCAGAUGUCCAGGAUGGUUAUUGUACAUGGAGAAUCAGGAUGGAUUAGAAUGGAUUAUUUAUUACCUUGGUGACAACGUCGGGUGGGCGUUGAAUCGUGGACAUGUCCCCUAUGAAUCCAGGCGGCUGGGUGAACAGAUGGACCAAGCUCCCUCCUCCGCCCAAGAAGCAACCGGGGAAAGCAGCACCGACGGCCGGAACCUCCUCCGCCCAAGAAGCAGCCGGGGAAAGCAGCACCGACGGCCGGAACCUCCUCCACCCAAGAAGCAGCCGGGGAAAGCAGCACCGACGGCCAGAACCUCCUCCGCCCAAGAAGCAGCCGGGGAAAGCAGCACCGAUGGCCGGAACCUCCUCGCCCAAGACGGCCAGAACAACACUACGGCGGAUCCAAAUCGCCAGUCUCCUCUGUCCAGAGCUGAACUGAGUGGCUACCCCCAUGAGAGGAUACGCGCACAGCCAAACCCACACACACCAGACACGCGUGGCAUGGUGGCUUAUCCGGUGGGAGACUACCACUUGCUCACGUUGAACCAUUGUGGCCCACAGCCCCCCGUGAACGUUGUAUCCCACUGCCACUUGCACCUAUAUACGUUGUGGCCCACCGGGAAAAUGCAUAUAUGAGCGCUCGUAGGUGCUAGCCAUCUAUUCCAAGGGGAGAAAAAAAUCUACUCCCAAGGAGUAUUUAUUUUCUUUUUAAAGGAUCUAUUAUUCUCAGGUACUCCUUUCGUCUCAUAAUAUAAAAUACUUUUUGACA